UACGUAGGGGGCAAGCGUUGUCCGGAAUCAUUGGGCGUAAAGAGCGUGUAGGCGGCCAGAUAAGUCCGCUGUGAAAACUCGAGGCUCAACCUCGAGCUGUCGGUGGAAACCGUAAGGCUAGAGUCCGGAAGAGGAGAGUGGAAUUCCUGGUGUAGCGGUGAAAUGCGCAGAUAUCAGGAAGAACACCCGUGGCGAAGGCGGCUCUCUGGGACGGUACUGACGCUGAGACGCGAAAGCGUGGGGAGCGAACAGG
RNAcentral lists this ribosomal RNA (253 nucleotides) under uncultured bacterium. RNAcentral describes it as "partial 16S ribosomal RNA". It matches the Rfam family "Bacterial small subunit ribosomal RNA", at positions 524 to 776 of the family's 1533-position model. The record is from RNAcentral.